AGCACGGAGAAAGAAGCUAGUUUUAGGCCAUAGCCACUGCUGCUCUAGCGCCGACACUGUGCAAGA
This is a small nucleolar RNA of Trypanosoma congolense IL3000, 66 nucleotides long. It matches the Rfam family "Trypanosomatid snoRNA TB9Cs1H1". Lineage: Eukaryota; Euglenozoa; Kinetoplastea; Trypanosomatida; Trypanosomatidae. The record is from Rfam.